RNAcentral lists this ribosomal RNA (278 nucleotides) under uncultured bacterium. Its description in RNAcentral is "partial 16S ribosomal RNA". It matches the Rfam family "Bacterial small subunit ribosomal RNA", at positions 30 to 307 of the family's 1533-position model. The record is from RNAcentral.
AUUGAACGCUGGCGGCAUGCCUUACACAUGCAAGUCGAACGGUAACGCGGGGCAACCUGGCGACGAGUGGCGAACGGGUGAGUAGUGCAUCGGAACGUGCCCAAUAGUGGGGAGUAGCCCGGCGAAGACCGGAUUAAUACCGCAUACGACCUAUGGGUGGAAAGACGGGGGAGUCGCAAGACCUCGCGCUAUUGGAGCGGCCGAUGUCAGAUUAGGUAGUUGGCGGGGUAAGGACCCACCAAGCCUGCGAUCUGUAGCUGGUCUGAGAGGACGACCAG